This 863-nucleotide ribosomal RNA is filed under the name uncultured Flavobacteriaceae bacterium. RNAcentral describes it as "bacterial SSU rRNA". It matches the Rfam family "Bacterial small subunit ribosomal RNA", at positions 38 to 891 of the family's 1533-position model. The record is from RNAcentral. Lineage: Bacteria; Pseudomonadati; Bacteroidota; Flavobacteriia; Flavobacteriales; Flavobacteriaceae.
AGCGGCAGGCUUCAUACAUGCAAGUCGAGGGGCAGCAUAAAUUACUUGUAAUUUGAUGGCGACCGGCGAACGGGUGCGUAACGCGUAUGCAACUUACCUUUUACUAGAGAAUAGCCAAGAGAAAUUUUGAUUAAUGCUCUAUACACUUAUUAAUUCUCAUGAAUCUAUAAGAAAAGCUCCGGCGGUAAAAGAUGGGCAUGCGUCCUAUUAGCUUGUAGGUGAGGUAACGGCUCACCUAAGCUCCGAUAGGUAGGGGUCCUGAGAGGGAGAUCCCCCACACUGGUACUGAGACACGGACCAGACUUCUACGGAAGGCAGCAGUAAGGAAUAUUGGACAAUGGAGGCAACUCUGAUCCAGCCAUGCCGCGUGAAGGAAGACGGCCUUAUGGGUUGUAAACUUCUUUUAUACAGGAAGAAACCUUUCCACGUGUGGAAAGCUGACGGUACUGUAAGAAUAAGGAUCGGCUAACUCCGUGCCAGCAGCCGCGGUAAUACGGAGGAUCCAAGCGUUAUCCGGAAUUAUUGGGUUUAAAGGGUCCGCAGGCUGUUUGUUAAGUCAGAGGUGAAAUCCUACCGCUCAACGGUAGAACUGCCUUUGAUACUGGCAAACUUGAGUUAUUGUGAAGUAGUUAGAAUGUGUAGUGUAGCGGUGAAAUGCAUAGAUAUUACACAGAAUACCGAUUGCGAAAGCAGAUUACUAACAAUAUACUGACGCUGAGGGACGAAAGCGUGGGUAGCGAACAGGAUUAGAUACCCUGGUAGUCCACGCCGUAAACGAUGGUCACUAGCUGUUUGAUGUACAUUGGUACAUUGAGUGGCUAAGCGAAAGUGAUAAGUGACCCACCUGGGGAGUACGCUCGCAA